AGCAGCUGCAUGCCGUUCUUCCCUUCCCCUUUCACAACAGAAACGUGAAUCAGACCAGUAGAGAUUACUUUGUGAACUUGUUAGGGAGAGAUGAGACCUUGAGAGAGGAGUGGGCAGCUGCAUAGAGGAGAGGAAAAAGAGAGCCGGAAAACGUGAGAGGAAGAAGAAGGAGGAGAACCAGCAGCUGAAUAGUGUCAAACCUUCCUCAAACUUAGUUAAAUUCAGAAGGU
Molecule: long non-coding RNA, 230 nt
Filed under: Populus trichocarpa (black cottonwood)
Lineage: Eukaryota; Viridiplantae; Streptophyta; Magnoliopsida; Malpighiales; Salicaceae
Description: long non-coding RNA (PTRI_LNC001971)
Source: RNAcentral